This 394-nucleotide ribosomal RNA is filed under the name uncultured bacterium. RNAcentral's name for it is "bacterial SSU rRNA". It matches the Rfam family "Bacterial small subunit ribosomal RNA", at positions 28 to 416 of the family's 1533-position model. The record is from RNAcentral.
GACGAACGCUGGCGGCGUGCCUAACACAUGCAAGUGGAGCGACGAACCGGGCUUCGGCCCGGGGCAAAGCCGCGAACGGGUGAGUAACACGUGGGUAACCUGCCCUGAUGAUCGGGACAACCCGGGGAAACUCGGGCUAAUACCGAAUGUGCCCUCCGGCCUCAAGGCCUCUGGGGAAAGGAAGCUUCGGCCUCCGCAUCGGGAUGGGCCCGCGGCCCAUUAGCUUGUUGGUGAGGUAAUGGCUCACCAAGGCAACGAUGGGUAGCUGGUCUGAGAGGACGAUCAGCCACACUGGGACUGAGACACGGCCCAGACUCCUACGGGAGGCAGCAGUGGGGAAUCUUGCGCAAUGCGCGAAAGCGUGACGCAGCAACGCCGCGUGGGGAAGAAGGCC